UUAUUGUACAUACUUUAUGAUAUCCAUCAAUUGUAUAUAUUAAAAUUAUCGUACAAAUUUCAUAUGUUGUUUCAAACUGUACAUUUAAUUAUUUAUUGUACUUUUUGAAACAAUAAUAUGUGAUCUAUGGAAUAUCCAAUUAUUGCCCCGGGCCCAAAAUCCUUUACACGGCCCAAUUAGCCUAAAGCUUCAGUGAUCCAAAUUUAAAAUUAGAAGUCCAUUACUAAACCCCAUUUAACCCUAGCCUAGAUUAAACCCAAAUUAGUCCCAACCAAUAACCCUGUACCAGCCCAAAUUAGCCAAAAACAGAAACCCUAGUAGCCGCCUCUGUCGCAGCAGCCUCACUCUACGCACAGCAACUCCGCGAAUGUUGCAGCAACUGCCCAUCACUCCCACGUCGUACACGAUCCUUCCAGGAUCUUCCUGCAACAAGCCAUGACCACGAACAGAGAGAAUAGUAGAAAAUACAAAGGAAAAAUGUAAAAAAAGGCAGAGAACAGUUUUUUGAUAUUUUCUUUUUUUCUGUUAUUUCGGCUAUAAAAAGCCAAAUAUUUUUUUUGUAAGGGGGGUUACACAAUCAGAGAUUCAAAAAAAUACAGAACAGAGAUAACAAAAAAUAAUAAUUUUGAAGGUGAUUUUCGUUUCCGUUUUUUUCUUUUACUGCUUGCGGGUUUCAUUUUUUUUUCUAUUGGUUCUUUUCUUUUAAAAACUAAACAAGGAGAGGGAGUAGAGAAGAAACUUACCGGCAUUGUGUCGUUGGAAGACCCCUUCGUUUCGUCGCCAUCGGAGCGGUGAGGGUUUGAAAUGGCAGAGAGGGAAGUGCUGCUGCGGCACAUUUUUGGGAAUGGCAGAGGGGAAUUGUUUUUUUUAGGGUUUGAAAAAGGGUUUUGUUUGAUUUGAAAAACGGCGCCGUAUUUGUGUAACCCAAAAGCCCGUGUGACCCGACCCAAAAGCCCGAUAGGAUCCGCGUUUUUUGUUUCAAAUGGACUAUUGGCGCAAUUAGUCCUCCCG
RNAcentral lists this long non-coding RNA (1011 nucleotides) under Gossypium raimondii (Peruvian cotton). RNAcentral's name for it is "long non-coding RNA (GRAI_LNC003909)". The record is from RNAcentral. Lineage: Eukaryota; Viridiplantae; Streptophyta; Magnoliopsida; Malvales; Malvaceae.